Molecule: long non-coding RNA, 4130 nt
Organism: Melospiza melodia melodia
Lineage: Eukaryota; Metazoa; Chordata; Aves; Passeriformes; Passerellidae
Exons: 4
Source: RefSeq, a predicted model, not a curated record
GCCCACCCGUUACAGCCAGAGCGGCCGGACACCGGCUCCGGGCGGUCCCCAGCUUAGAGUGCUGCUCCAGCGGGCCUCUGGGCACCUGCUGCGGCCGCAGCUCGCAGUGUUCUCGGCCAGGUUUCCGGAGCUCUGUCCCCGGCGCCGUGCGGUGGGAGCUGGUUGAACAGCGGUGAUGGCUCCAGCGGCUGCUGUGAGGCACCGGCUGCGGGAUCGCCCUAAAGCGAGUGUUCUGUGUUCUGAGGGGCUGUCACCCUUUUUUCUCCUUUUCUGCUGCUAAUAAGAACCCCAGUGCAGUUUGGGAUUCUGUCCAAGCCCCUACCAAGGCAGGGUCACCCAGAGCAGGUGACACAGGAGCACCUCCUGUUGUCAUUACAGUCAGUUACCUGACUCCAGUUCCCUCAACCACCCAACCCAGUCUUUUAUAACACUCCUCUAUUGGCUACAGCUGUGGCCUGUUAACAUCAGGCCUGCUCCUAAUCCUUCACAAUUGGCUCAGCUGCAACUCUUUAGGGGGUGAGUUUGGAAUCUCUUCAGACAGGAAUGCUCCAUGGCCUCCCUAGGCUGCCUUUCCGGUGUUUUGUCAACCUGAACGUAAAGAAUUUCUUCCUCAUGUUGAGGUAUUCCAACAGUACCUGCCCUGACCAAAGUAGAGUGUUGCUGACAGCUUCCCAGCACUGCAGAGAUCCCUCCAUUUUCUGAGCCAUCUUGCCACUGCAGUUAAUGCCAGCUGAGGAUUAAAUAAGUAAAAGCCUAUCAGAACACGGUUCUUGUAAUAUUUUCAAUAUAGUGCACAAACUCAGAGUCUCUAUAUUACAGUUCUUCUAAUCCUUUCAUGGUUUGUAAAAGAAAAGAAAAAGAAAACAACCUUUUUCUAAUUUAUCAUUGCCCCUCCUAAAUGGAUAGUGUAAAAUUGGAUGGUUUAGCAAUGUUUAGACCUGGGAUAUGUAGUGAAAAGAAAAAAAAAUACAGCAGUAGUAUUCAUUUGAGAAGACACACACUUGGCUGAUGUUCCUUUGUGAGAAGGUAAUAAAGAAAUUACUUUUACUUUUUUUCCCCCUUUUUUACUGCUAAUAAGAACUUGGGAAACUUGAGGGAAACGUUCUCAUCUUUCUAUAGAUUCUCUAGGGAAAGAAGGAAAAGCAAUUGGCCAAAGCAGAGAGAGGGUUGAACCAAAUUAGGAGAAUUUAAGUGACAAAGAACUGGUGGUGCAGAAGGGAAGGCUGAGGAAUGUUUUAUUUAGUGGUGGUACAGGGUGGUGAACAAUUAUAGCUGUGUCAUUAAAGAACAUGCAAAUGAAGGGGCUGAGAAGGAACAACAUGUAAAAUGAUGGCUCCAAAUAAAUGGGAGUGUUCCUGUGAAUUCCAAAGAACAAGAAAGAAAAGCUUACUUUGUAACAAAUUUAUCAGUAAUUUCUAGCCACAUUGAGCUCAGAGGAGGUUUGCAUUUCAGCCAAACGCUGAUCAGGAAGGAGGCACAGUUGGUUUCAUUUCUGAGAGAGAACAGAGUGUUCCUAAGUCAGGGGAGAUGUCAUGGAGCUGCUAAUCCCUGAGAAGUAGGUCAGGCUGGCCAGGAUGGAGAUGGCACACCUCAUUGAGCCUGAUUAGAAACAUCCAUUAAAUGGAUGAAAAGAGAAAGCAAGGAGGGCCAGUCAGAGAAAACAAGGGUCUAGGCCAGACCUUCCCUUGCUUCUGUGGUGAUUUCAGUUAUUCUGUUCCUUCCACAAUUUACCCUCCCUUAGCUUCAGUGGGCUUCUGUUAACCUGCCCUGCUCCAGCCCUUACAGUGUGUGCGUGCUGCUCUGUGGGCUCUGCACACGGGGAGCCACAGAUUUCCAGCUUCCAAACCCCCACUGCUGCUGCAGGACAAGAACAGCUGCAGGAAUCCAGCUGUCACUUUAGGUUUCCACAGCUGGUGAUUGCAGUGUAGCCAUGACCCCAGGUGAGUUUUGGACAGAAUUUGAUGUAAAUAAAAAAAAAAAAAAAAAAAAAUUCUAGUCUGCGUUUGUUUGUUUUAACCUUGAUGAUAAAAUGGAAAGUUCAAGUACAGUGUGGAAAGAACAAGUGAAGCUACAUGGAGGGAAAGAUGCCAACCUUUCUCUUGCUCUGUGACACUCAGCUCACAAAUAUUUCUGUGCUGGAAUGAUAAUUUAUCUGUGUGACCAGCCCUUGCUCUGCACAGAGGACACCACCUAAAUACAUUGUUUCCUAGACCUCCACAUCAGUAAUUUCACUGUUUCUCUUGAGCCGUGUGAGCAAGACAGGACUUUGUGUUUUACCACUAUUUUCCAUAUAGGGAAGCUGAGCUAGGUGGCUUUUAAAAGGUCCCUUCCUACUCAGACUUCUGUGUCUUUGUGUUCACUGAACUAAAAUUUGCCUCCCCUGAUAGUGUGGUUUUCUAGUGGAAAAAGAAGGGAGUUUAAAAUUUUAGAGGUAUUAGGUGGCACAGAGGAUGAAGUUGGAAAAGUCUUUCCCAACUUUCCUUAACUUGGUUUCUAUUUGGUUUAUUUUCUACUUUAUUGAAUGUUGUCCUAUUGUUAGUUUGUGUGGGUGUCUUGUGGUAAGGAAAGGUAUUCCAGCAUUCUUGAUAUGUUUUCUCUCUCUGUGUGCCAUGAUGGAUUCAUGACACUGCCUAGAGCAGAAUAAAUUACUGCAACAGUCAUUUUCCUAAAAUACACCUGAUAUCACCAGCUAUGUGAUUUUUUCCAGUUUUCUGGAUUUCCAGAACUGCUCUCCUAAACUUUUGGAAUUUGUUCUUGAUGGGUUGGUUGUGAAACUAGAAAACAAGAGGUUAUCAUCACACAGACAAUAGCAAUGUUGAUAUUUCCAAUUUUAAUUUGUACAUGUGUCUAACAACACAAAUAGCAGUUGCAAUAUACUUUUCACUAUGUGAAUGCUAAAAGAGUUUUAUAACUUAAAUAAUGUAGUAGAGAAUAAAUAAGAUGUGGCCAAAAUACGUAUUCAAUGCAUUUUCUACCAUGGAUUUAUUAACAAUAAAUCUUGUUAUGUUUAAAGAGAAUGGUGUGGUUUAGAACAGAUAAAUCAAUAAAUACACAACACUGAAACUGUUGGGAAGUCACCAGGGCCCUGCCUUUGAUAUCCAAUACAAAUGAACAAAAGCUUUUAGACAAAACUUUGACUUUUGACAAGGAAUGUUGAAAGCUGUGCUCCAAAAAUCAGACCAAAGAAUUCAUUGGAAUAUUAAAAUAAUAUACAUGAAGAGUAUAUCUUCAUAUAUGUUCAUUUCUUGUUCAUUUUCAUCAAGUUGAUGUGAAUCUAAUGACUGCUCACCAGAAGGUAGGUACGCAAUGAGAGAAAGAAAUCAUAUUUACAGGGUACUCUCCCCAGAAUUCAUCCAGUUGAACAUCUCUGACUAACUUUGAGUUUUGCUGGUCUCCAGAAAUGUGAAGAACUAGUCCUGCCAAGAUUUGGAGACAAGUUAUCAAGAGUAUUCAACAUUGAAAAAUAUACCUUAUUAUCAAAAAAUAUCACUCACUUUUAUGCUUCUUACACAGGUAAGCUGAUGUGCACCAACAGUUCUUCCCCACUGUCCUGAGUGGCUCCUCUUGAUCUUGAAAUCUGUGAAAAGUGCAUGUUAUAUGGGUCUGUGCAGAUAUUCACCAUAUGUGUUUUGAUGUAUUGAUUAGCAGUGCUGUAUUAACAUGUAAUAAUAUGAUAAAUGAAGUCUUGUAGUUAAAAGGUAACUUUUGUAGCUAAAAUAAGAGCUAUGUUACUGGGAUUUUUUUAAGAAAGGAAUGAGGCACUCGCAGCAGAUAGCAGCCCCAGGACACCUGAAUCUUUCAGAGAAAAGGAAUUUAUUGCCCUCUUAGCAGAAGAAACGAACUUCUUCCCACCUCCAAGGUGCUGUCAGGAUUAGAAGGAAGAAGUUGAUGAUGACCAGACAGAAUCCUGUAUUUGAAUGGAAUUUAUGCAUCAUGUAUGAAUUGUAUGAAUAUGCAACAGUCUAUUGUUUUGAACGGUUAAUCCUUUGUUCAUGUGGGUCCUUUUUCGGGCUCCUGCUGCCCAGAAAAAGGUAUUCAGACAUCCAUAACUCUUUGUCUCUAUUGUCUCAUAUUGUCCUAAUUCAAUUUGUCCAAAUUGUUAUUACUCUAAUUGUAUUACUAUUUUUAUA